GCUACCAGCACUGCCGUGGAGUGAAU
Molecule: small RNA, 26 nt
Filed under: Bombyx mori (domestic silkworm)
Lineage: Eukaryota; Metazoa; Arthropoda; Insecta; Lepidoptera; Bombycidae
Description: ovarian small RNA-17053
Source: RNAcentral